This is a small nucleolar RNA of Sciurus vulgaris (Eurasian red squirrel), 176 nucleotides long. Its record names the gene SNORA73. It matches the Rfam family "Small nucleolar RNA SNORA73 family". From Rfam's summary of the family: U17 (SNORA73A and SNORA73B) also known as E1 belongs to the H/ACA class of small nucleolar RNAs (snoRNAs). Vertebrate U17 is intron-encoded and ranges in length from 200-230 nucleotides, longer than most snoRNAs. Lineage: Eukaryota; Metazoa; Chordata; Mammalia; Rodentia; Sciuridae. The record is from Ensembl.
UCAGAAUUUUCAUAAAAAUCAUGCAAGUACUCCAUCCAGGUGGCAUAGAGGAACAAAGGGCUCUGCCCCUUUCCACAACUUUGGAGAUGAAGCUGGGCUUUGUGUCUGCACCUUUAUAUUCCUACAACUUCUCAGAGUCUUAUGGACUGAGGAUACAAACCAUGCAGGAAACAAAG